AUUGAACGCUGGCGGAAUGCUUUACACAUGCAAGUCGAGCGGCAGCACGGGGGCAACCCUGGUGGCGAGCGGCGAACGGGUGAGUAAUACAUCGGAACAUGCCCAGUCGUGGGGGAUAACACUUCGAAAGAAGUGCUAAUACCGCAUACGUCCUGAGGGAGAAAGCGGGGGAUCGCAAGACCUCGCGCGAUUGGAGUGGCCGAUGUCAGAUUAGCUAGUUGGUGGGGUAAAGGCCUACCAAGGCAACGAUCUGUAGCUGGUCUGAGAGGAUGAUCAGCCACACUGGGACUGAGACACGGCCCAGACUCCUACGGGAGGCAGCAGUGGGGAAUUUUGGACAAUGGGGGCAACCCUGAUCCAGCCAUUCCGCGUGAGUGAAGAAGGUCUUCGGGUUGUAAAGCUCUUUCGGCAGGAACGAAACGGCGAGCUCUAACAUAGCUUGCUAAUGACGGUACCUGAAGAAGAAGCACCGGCUAACUACGUG
This 484-nucleotide ribosomal RNA is filed under the name uncultured bacterium. Its description in RNAcentral is "partial 16S ribosomal RNA". It matches the Rfam family "Bacterial small subunit ribosomal RNA", at positions 30 to 507 of the family's 1533-position model. The record is from RNAcentral.